UACAGAGAGUGCGAGCGUUAAUCGGAAUUAUUGGGCGUAAAGGGUGUGUAGGUUGUUAAAAAAGUUAGUUGUGAAAUCCCUGGGCGUAACCUAGGAAUAGCAGCUAAUACUUUUUAUCUAGAGUAUUAUAGGGGGAAGUGGAAUUUCCGGUGUAGCGGUGAAAUGCGUAGAUAUCGGAAGGAACACCAGUGGCGAAGGCGACUUCCUGGAUAAAUACUGACACUGAGACACGAAAGCGUGGGGAGCAAACAGGAUUAGAUACCCUGGUAGUCCACGCUGUAAACUAUGAAAACUUGCUGUUAGGCAUUUAUAUAUGUUUAGUGGCGUAGCUAACGCGUUAAGUUUUCCGCCUGGGGAGUACGAUCGCAAGGUUA
This 374-nucleotide ribosomal RNA is filed under the name uncultured prokaryote. RNAcentral describes it as "bacterial SSU rRNA". It matches the Rfam family "Bacterial small subunit ribosomal RNA", at positions 524 to 896 of the family's 1533-position model. The record is from RNAcentral.